AUGGCUUCAACCUUGACUUCGGACGCUGCUGCGGCAGGUUCACAGGAGGUCGAUGAUGUGGAAACAAUGAUGAAAGAACUGGGUCUCCGGGAGGAGGACCUGGACGAUGUGAACAUGAGGGCAGCAUGGGAUCUGGCCCAAGAGGUAAAGUUCAAGCCACUGGAAGAAAAUCUUUACACCAUCCAAUUCUCCUGCCUAGGGGAUUGGGAGAGAGUUACUCAGGAAGGGCCAUGGCACUUUAGGGGCGACGCUGUCAUCCUCAAGUCUUAUGAUGGAUUAGCAAAACCGUCGAUAGCCCUCCUCGACACCAUUGAGAUAUGGGUGCAAGUUCAUGAUGUGCCGCCUCUGUACGCCCAUCUUGUGCCUUCCCUUGCGGCGAAAGUGGGAGAAGUGCUUUAUGCUGAAGCCCAGUCACCAGACUUUACGGGGAAUUUUCAUCGUGUUUGGAUCAGGAUCAAUGUUACGAAGCCUUUGAAGAAUGCAGAUUACAUGAUCACAGAGGGGAAACGCCAGAUAUACAGGGUCAAAUACGAAAAGCUUCCUGACUGGUGUGCGGUGUGCGGCAUGCUAGGGCAUCUUUUUAAGGAGCAUGACACCGUAAUCCAUCCACCAUCAGCACUGAUCUUCAAGAAUCUGCGAGCAUCAUGGGUCAUGCGCACCGGCCAAGGGCCAGGUGGUGGAUGGGACUGA
Molecule: ribosomal RNA, 690 nt
Filed under: Triticum aestivum (bread wheat)
Lineage: Eukaryota; Viridiplantae; Streptophyta; Magnoliopsida; Poales; Poaceae
Description: partial small subunit ribosomal RNA
Source: RNAcentral